Fundulus heteroclitus (mummichog) is the source of this 262-nucleotide RNA transcript. RefSeq lists it as uncharacterized. The transcript has 3 exons. The record is from RefSeq and is a predicted model, not a curated record. NCBI's taxonomy places the organism in Eukaryota, Metazoa, Chordata, Actinopteri, Cyprinodontiformes, Fundulidae.
CACCAAUGAUGGGGGAUGUUUUCCAGGCCAGAGUUCUGCUGGACCCAUCAGAUGUUAAAGAAGAGGCUCCUGAAGAACAUAGUCCUGAGAGGGAGCAGCAGGAUACAGAGCCCCUCCAAAUAAAAGAGGAACAGGAGGAACCCGGAGCUUGUCAAGAAGGAGAGCAGCUCCUUGUGAAGGAGGAGACUGAUACAGAGUUUCCAGUAACUGCUGUUCCUAACAAUGUUAAGGAGAAGCUGAUUGUUAAAGAAGAAGCUUCUUU